Molecule: ribosomal RNA, 433 nt
Filed under: uncultured bacterium
Lineage: Bacteria
Description: partial 16S ribosomal RNA
Rfam family: Bacterial small subunit ribosomal RNA
Source: RNAcentral
AACGAACGCUGGCGGCAUGCCUAACACAUGCAGGUCGAACGAGACCUUCGGGCUUAGUGGCGCAUGGGGGCGUAACGCGUGGGGACCUGCCCUUAGGUUCGGAAUAACUCCCCGAAAGGGGUGCUAAUACCGGAUAAUGUAUUCCGACCAAAGAUUUAUCGCCUUUGGAUGGGCCCGGGUUGGAUUAGCUAGUUGGUAGGGUAAAAGCCUACCAAGGCGACGAUCCAUAGCUGGUCUGAGAGGAUGAUCCGCCACACUGGGACUGGGACACGGCCCAGACUCCUACGCAAGGGGGCAGUGGGGAAUAUUGGACAGUGGGCGGAAGCCUGAUCCAGCAAUGCCGCGUAAGUGAUGAAGGCCGUAGGGUUGUAAAGCUCUUUUACCCGGGAUGAUAAUGACGGUACCGGGAGAAUAAGCACCGGCUAACUCCGUG